AUUGAACGCUGGCGGCAGGCCUAACACAUGCAAGUCGAACGGUAACAGAAAGCAGCUUGCUGCUUUGCUGACGAGUGGCGGACGGGUGAGUAAUGUCUGGGAAACUGCCUGAUGGGGGGGGAUAACUACUGGAAACGGUAGCUAAUACCGCAUAACGUCGCAAGACCAAAGAGGGGGACCUUCGGGCCUCUUGCCAUCGGAUGUGCCCAGAUGGGAUUAGCUAGUAGGUGGGGUAACGGCUCACCUAGGCGACGAUCCCUAGCUGGUCUGAGAGGAUGACCAGCCACACUGGAACUGAGACACGGUCCAGACUCCUACGGGAGGCAGCAGUGGGGAAUAUUGCACAAUGGGCGCAAGACUGAUGCAGCCAUGCCGAGUGUAUGAAGAAGGCCUUCGGGUUGUAAAGUACUUUCAGCGGGGAGGAAGGGAGUAAAGUUAAUACCUUUGCUCAUUGACGUUACCCGCAGAAGAAGCACCGGCUAACUCCGUG
RNAcentral lists this ribosomal RNA (490 nucleotides) under uncultured bacterium. RNAcentral describes it as "partial 16S ribosomal RNA". It matches the Rfam family "Bacterial small subunit ribosomal RNA", at positions 30 to 507 of the family's 1533-position model. The record is from RNAcentral.